UGGGGAAUUUUGGACAAUGGGCGAAAGCCUGAUCCAGCAAUGCCGCGUGUGUGAAGAAGGCCUUCGGGUUGUAAAGCACUUUUGUCCGGAAAGAAAUCCUUGGCUCUAGUACAGUCGGGGGAUGACGGUACCGGAAGAAUAAGCACCGGCUAACUACGUGCCAGCAGCCGCGGUAAUACGUAGGGUGCAAGCGUUAAUCGGAAUUACUGGGCGUAAAGCGUGCGCAGGCGGUUUGCUAAGACCGAUGUGAAAUCCCCGGGCUCAACCUGGGAACUGCAUUGGUGACUGGCAGGCUAGAGUAUGGCAGAGGGGGGUAGAAUUCCACGUGUAGCAGUGAAAUGCGUAGAGAUGUGGAGGAAUACCGAUGGCGAAGGCAGCCCCCUGGGCCAAUACUGACGCUCAUGCACGAAAGCGUGGGGAGCAAACAGGAUUAGAUACCCUGGUAGUCCACGCCCUAAAACGAUGUCAACUAGUUGUUGGGGAUUCAUUUCCUUAGUAACGUAGCUAACGCGUGAAGUUGACCGCCUGGGGAGUACGGUCGCAAGAUUAAAACUCAAAUGAAUUGACGGGGUCAUAGCUGUUUCCU
This 586-nucleotide ribosomal RNA is filed under the name uncultured bacterium. RNAcentral describes it as "partial 16S ribosomal RNA". It matches the Rfam family "Bacterial small subunit ribosomal RNA", at positions 355 to 1375 of the family's 1533-position model. The record is from RNAcentral.